UAGCCUUUCUCCGUGUGAAACUCAGCAUGAAAUUAUGUCAGCAUCCCACACAAAGUGCCUAAAAGUCCAUUUGGUUAAUCUGUUCCGUGAUGGCACUGUGUCUGAAAUGGUUGACCUUGAGGUUCCAAUUAUCAUCAAGGAGGAGAUUCUAAAGCUUAAUCUAAAACUUGGCCACAAAUUUAGGCCUUGAUCAACCCCGUCUGUAUUAUCCCUGCAAAGGUUCCAUAUCAGAGGAGUAGUCUGAGUUCAUGUUUUCCCAGAAGAUUGUUGCGCCUGCCAUUGUCUCCGGUAUUAUAUAUUUAAAAUUGAGAUAAAAGGGGAUGUAGGGUGAGAGUCAGGACUCAGGAUUUGAGACAUCCUUAAUCAAGGUAUUAUUAGUUUUAAUGUUUGAUUAAUAUAUAUCAUAUAUAGUUUAUUAGAAAUUAUCUUUCAGCAUUGUAUUUCACGGAAGACAUUAUAGUAUAUUCCACUAAAUAAAAUUACAAAAAUCUCUUUGUCAGUAAUUCCUUGUAUUAUUUAAAAGACCCCAAUCAUUGAAGCUAGAAUAAAUGUACCACUUGGACAACAACUCCAAACCAGCAUAGAUAAACUAGCUGAGAGUUCGAGCUAAGGAGUUUGAGAUGGCAGUUUAUGUUCUCUCUUUGCUUGGUUUCUUCAUCCUGUUACAGCGUGUCUUUGCUCAGCCAACUGCUAAUGCAGGUACAAACUUUUCAUGCUUCUCUGAAUCGCCUGUUUCCUGUCAAACAUAUCUUAGUUACAGAGCAAGGCCAUCCGAUUAUAUGAACAUAGGAAAUAUAUCGGACCUGUUUGGAGUUAGCCGCUUGAGUAUUGUCAUAGCGAAUAACCUAUCUUCAGAUGAUGUCAAGCUAAAACAUAGUGCAAAACGUCAUUGCGCGUGACGUCUUCUCCGUUAGUACUAAACGCGAGUCUAAGUGCCGUUGUAGAGCGAUAGAAUUGGGCUUUUUUUUGGAUCGUGACAACUGGGUCAUUCAGUGUCAAAAUCAUGACACUGAGGGCUAUUUCUCAAUUAAGGGCUUAUCAAGAGUUUAUAUUUUUAAGUGUAUAUUUUUAUAAAAAAUUUAGAUAUAAAUGUAAAAAAAAAAAAAGUGUUUCAUAUUCAUUGUGGCAAAAAAUAAGAGCUUUUUUCAGGAAAAGAAAAUGAAUUUCA
Long non-coding RNA from Daucus carota subsp. sativus, 1168 nucleotides. RefSeq lists it as uncharacterized. The transcript has 2 exons. Lineage: Eukaryota; Viridiplantae; Streptophyta; Magnoliopsida; Apiales; Apiaceae. The record is from RefSeq and is a predicted model, not a curated record.